GGGUCGAUGGCGUAGCUGGUUAUCGCAUCUGUCUAACAUGUAUCUGAACUAUACCCGCACAGAAGGUCCUCAGUUCGAACCUGGGUCGACUCA
Desarmillaria tabescens is the source of this 93-nucleotide non-coding RNA. NCBI's taxonomy places the organism in Eukaryota, Fungi, Basidiomycota, Agaricomycetes, Agaricales, Physalacriaceae. The record is from the annotation of a RefSeq genome assembly.